UAGGGAAUCUUCCACAAUGGGCGCAAGCCUGAUGGAGCAACACCGCGUGAGUGAAGAAGGGUUUCGGCUCGUAAAGCUCUGUUGUUAAAGAAGAACGUGGGUAAGAGUAACUGUUUACCCAGUGACGGUAUUUAACCAGAAAGCCACGGCUAACUACGUGCCAG
RNAcentral lists this ribosomal RNA (164 nucleotides) under uncultured bacterium. Its description in RNAcentral is "partial 16S ribosomal RNA". It matches the Rfam family "Bacterial small subunit ribosomal RNA", at positions 355 to 511 of the family's 1533-position model. The record is from RNAcentral.